AUUGAACGCUGGCGGCGUGCCUAAUACAUGCAAGUCGAGCGAAGCGGCGGAUGGGUUAGUAACGCGUGGGUAACCUGCCCGUAAGUCUGGGAUGCCAGUUGGAAACAGAUGCGAAUACCGGAUACUAAAGGAUGGACCUGCGAUGCAUUAGCUAGUUGGUAAGGUAACGGCUUACCAAGGCGAUGAUGCAUAGCCGAGUUGAGAGCCUGAUCGGCCACAUUGGGACUGAGACACGGCCCAAACUCCGACGGGAGGCAGCAGUAGGAAAUCUUCCACAAUGGACGAAAGUCUGAUGGAGCAACGCCGCGUGAGUGAAGAAGGUUUUCGGAUCGUAAAGCUCUGUUGUUGGUGAAGCGGUAAUCAACCAGAAAGUCACGGCUAACUACGUGCCAGCAGCCGCGGUAAUA
RNAcentral lists this ribosomal RNA (407 nucleotides) under uncultured bacterium. RNAcentral's name for it is "partial 16S ribosomal RNA". It matches the Rfam family "Bacterial small subunit ribosomal RNA", at positions 30 to 525 of the family's 1533-position model. The record is from RNAcentral.